RNAcentral lists this small RNA (559 nucleotides) under Pongo abelii (Sumatran orangutan). RNAcentral's name for it is "processed transcript". The record is from RNAcentral. Lineage: Eukaryota; Metazoa; Chordata; Mammalia; Primates; Hominidae.
ACUACAUCAAAGGCAGCAACCUGGAUGCCCCUGAGCCCUACCGAAUUGGCCGGAUCAAAGAGAUCUUCUGUCCCAAGAAGAGCAACGGCAGGCCCAACGAGACUGACAUCAAAAUCCGGGUCAACAAGUUCUACAGGCCUGAGAACACCCACAAGUCCACUCCAGCGAGCUACCACGCAGACAUCAACCUGCUGUACUGGAGCGACGAGGAGGCCGUGGUGGACUUCAAGGCUGUGCAGGGCCGCUGCACCGUGGAGUAUGGGGAGGACCUGCCCGAGUGCGUCCAGGUGUACUCCAUGGGCGGCCCCGACCGCUUCUACUUCCUCGAGGCCUAUAAUGCAAAGACCAAAAGCUUUGAAGAUCCUCCCAACCAUGCCCGUAGCCCUGGAAACAAAGGGAAGGGCAAGGGAAAAGGGAAGGGCAAGCCCAAGUCCCAAGCCUGUGAGCCGAGCGAGCCAGAGAUAGAGAUCAAGCUGCCCAAGCUGCGGACCCUGGACGUGUUUUCUGGCUGCGGAGGGUUGUCGGAGGGAUUCCACCAAGCAGGUAAACGGGUAGAAGC